This 76-nucleotide transfer RNA is filed under the name Gammaproteobacteria bacterium. RNAcentral describes it as "tRNA-Thr". It matches the Rfam family "tRNA". From Rfam's summary of the family: Transfer RNA (tRNA) molecules are approximately 80 nucleotides in length. The record is from RNAcentral. Lineage: Bacteria; Pseudomonadati; Pseudomonadota; Gammaproteobacteria.
GCCCACAUAGCUCAGCAGGUAGAGCACUUCCAUGGUAAGGAAGAGGUCACCGGUUCAAUUCCGGUUGUGGGCUCCA